RNAcentral lists this ribosomal RNA (245 nucleotides) under uncultured bacterium. Its description in RNAcentral is "partial 16S ribosomal RNA". It matches the Rfam family "Bacterial small subunit ribosomal RNA", at positions 524 to 768 of the family's 1533-position model. The record is from RNAcentral.
UACGUAGGGGGCGAGCGUUGUCCGGAGUUACUGGGCGUAAAGGGCGCGUAGGCGGAAGCUUAAGUAGUCAGUGAAAGCCCCCGGCUCAACCGGGGAGGGUCUGGCUAGACUGGGCUUCUGGAGGACGGAAGAGGAGAGUGGAAUUGCUGGUGGAGCGGUGGAAUGCGUAGAGAUCAGCAGGAACACCCGUGGCGAAGGCGGCUCUCUGGUCCUGUCCUGACGCUGAGGCGCGAAAGCUGGGGGAG